AGCGAACGCUGGCGGCAGGCUUAACACAUGCAAGUCGAACGGGCUUCUUCGGAAGUCAGUGGCAGACGGGUGAGUAACACGUGGGAACGUGCCCUUCGGUUCGGAAUAACUCAGGGAAACUUGAGCUAAUACCGGAUACGCCCUUUUGGGGAAAGGUUGACUGCCGAAGGAUCGGCCCGCGUCUGAUUAGCUUGUUGGUGGGGUAACGGCCUACCAAGGCGACGAUCAGUAGCUGGUCUGAGAGGAUGAUCAGCCACACUGGGACUGAGACACGGCCCAGACUCCUAUGGGAGGCAGCAGUGGGGAAUAUUGGACAAUGGGCGCAAGCCUGAUCCAGCCAUGCCGCGUGAGUGAUGAAGGCCUUAGGGUUGUAAAGCUCUUUUGUCCGGGACGAUAAUGACGGUACCGGAAGAAUAAGCCCCGGCUAACUUCGUG
This 435-nucleotide ribosomal RNA is filed under the name uncultured bacterium. RNAcentral describes it as "partial 16S ribosomal RNA". It matches the Rfam family "Bacterial small subunit ribosomal RNA", at positions 29 to 507 of the family's 1533-position model. The record is from RNAcentral.